AGGAUAGGUACUUAGCUCUCGGCUUAGUGCUGAGGAAAGUCCGCCCUCCCUCCCGAAAGGGUUGAAAGGCUGCCUCUUCGGAGGAUCCGGAAACGGAUGACAACCAUUCAGAAACGAGACCACCUUUGCUUAGGAUGACGCUCGCGAGGGUUUCGGUAACGAAACUGAGAUAACCGGCAGACGUUGGCAAGGGAAUGGAUGAAACGAUGAGAUCCGGCUGGAGCAAGUCUUUAUGACGCUUAGUUAAAUGCUAAGAGAGCCAUCGAAGCUUUUGCCUUGUAAUGGGCUCUUACAAAAGGCGGCUUAUUCCUAUCCU
Molecule: RNase P RNA, 316 nt
Filed under: Candidatus Woesearchaeota archaeon
Lineage: Archaea; Nanobdellati; Candidatus Woesearchaeota
Description: RNase P RNA component
Rfam family: Archaeal RNase P
About the family: Ribonuclease P (RNase P) is a ubiquitous endoribonuclease, found in archaea, bacteria and eukarya as well as chloroplasts and mitochondria. Its best characterised activity is the generation of mature 5'-ends of tRNAs by cleaving the 5'-leader elements of precursor-tRNAs.
Source: RNAcentral